GGAAGAGGCGGGGCCCGGAGCGCCAAACGCCCAGCGGAAGAAGCUGUGCUUUCUUUUCCGCGCGGCCAGCGAAGGAUGCGGGUGCGUGGAGCGCCGUCGGCCAGGCGGGCCGGGCGGCGGGGUGUGCGGGCCAGUCGCUGGGCUCUUCGAGGUGCAAUAGAGCCUAUGAGGUGAAGAUGAAUGAAGGUUGUCCUGAUGUUUUCCAGAAACUGCUCACAGGAUGGCUCUGAUAAAACCACUAGGAGCACAACUGCAUGUAAUGAGCAUAUAGGUAGCUGCAGAUGAAUAUUCAAGUGCAAAACUGUCGUGGUUAAAAUUCAUUGCCUCAAAGGCAUGCAAUUGGAAGGAAAAAAGAAUUGGUCAAGAAGACAUGAAACAGAUGAAGAUUAAUAUUUUAUUUAACAUUGAUCACCUCACAAUAAAUUAUGUAGAAAAAUACAUGUUUGAGUACUUGUAAUUGCUAGGUAUUAAUAGAAGAGCUAGAAGAGCACUCCUGAAUAAACAAUGGCACACUAAAUUCAUCUUGGUCAGCCUCCUGGAGAGCCCAGGCUCUGACACACUACAUCCAAUCUGUUUUGUGUAAUGGACAAAUUUAUCUUCUGGAGAAAUCAUUUUCACUGUUUCACAACUCUAAUAAAGUCCAACUGUUCUCUA
Mirounga angustirostris (Northern elephant seal) is the source of this 654-nucleotide long non-coding RNA. RefSeq lists it as uncharacterized. The transcript has 5 exons. The record is from RefSeq and is a predicted model, not a curated record. NCBI's taxonomy places the organism in Eukaryota, Metazoa, Chordata, Mammalia, Carnivora, Phocidae.